UAACUAGAUAACUCCGUUGGUUAGAUCGUGGUGCUGAGAACACCAAGGUUGCAGGUUCGAUCCCUGUGCUGCAUAU
This is a non-coding RNA of Podarcis lilfordi (Lilford's wall lizard), 76 nucleotides long. NCBI's taxonomy places the organism in Eukaryota, Metazoa, Chordata, Lepidosauria, Squamata, Lacertidae. The record is from the annotation of a GenBank genome assembly.